UAUGUUGUUAAGAGAGCCUUUUCAGGCGGAGCUUUAAUGCUUACAACAAUGGAUGGGGAGGAUUUCACUCGUCCUGUGAAUUCAGAUGCAGUUAAGAGAUACUUUGCCUAAAAAAAAAAAAAAAAAGUAUAUGCAAAUGAAAAAAAACAAAUAUAAAAAACAGAAUUGCUCGCUAAGUUGAAAACCCGAAAGGGCGGCUUAGGCAAAAAUGAGCGUCUCGGUGGAGAAC
RNAcentral lists this long non-coding RNA (229 nucleotides) under Lathyrus oleraceus (garden pea). RNAcentral describes it as "Pisum sativum (pea) long non-coding RNA (PSAT_LNC040520)". Lineage: Eukaryota; Viridiplantae; Streptophyta; Magnoliopsida; Fabales; Fabaceae. The record is from RNAcentral.